Molecule: long non-coding RNA, 750 nt
Filed under: Pan troglodytes (chimpanzee)
Lineage: Eukaryota; Metazoa; Chordata; Mammalia; Primates; Hominidae
Description: long non-coding RNA NONPTRT001851
Source: RNAcentral
AUUGCCGCAGAAAUGAGCUUGAGGAAACUCCCAGGCAGACAAAGUCGGCUCAGUGGAACUCACAGAUGGGCCCUGCCCGGUCAAUGCCCCCGCUGUGAUAGGCUUCUACUUGGGUUCCUUCCUUUUGGUGGAUAGGUGUGCUAUGGACAGUGGAGAAGAUCACAGUGCUGGGCAUGCCAGAGCACUUGCCCCUUCCCAGGGGUGCCAUGAAGGUGCAGUGAAUGGAGAAAGUUUAUGAGCCUCUGCACUCAACAUUUUGCCAUUGGUAGAACCCAGGAGGUUAAUGUUGGAGAAGGCCUUUUAGUGCAAAGAGCCCACCCUGGUUGUACAUUCUAGGGAAACCUCUCUGUGUCUAUAUCAUCACAUCAGCCUGUGAUGUAAUCAAUCUCUCUCUGUCUCUGUCUGUGCUUUUCCCUCUUACUAUCUCUCUCUGUCUCUCUCUCUCACACACACACACACAUACAUAUACAUAUAGUUUCCUUUCCCUCACACAAACACUAAUAUCCCCUGACCCUAAUCAGACAGUUGCCAAAACCCCAUUUGUCUGAGUUCCCUUUAUUUCAAUUUUUUGCCCUUUUUCAACUGUUUCAGGAAGCAAACCAGUUCUGUUUUUCAACUUGAACCUAGUCAAUGUUCAAGCUGAGCAUCUACUUCUCAGGUUAGAAGUCACAUCAUCAGCUCAGACCUGUUUGAUACCAUGAAAAGCAGACACACAAAUGGACCCCCUCCCCAGACAGUACUUCAGACUCU